This is a long non-coding RNA of Mastomys coucha (southern multimammate mouse), 319 nucleotides long. RefSeq lists it as uncharacterized. NCBI's taxonomy places the organism in Eukaryota, Metazoa, Chordata, Mammalia, Rodentia, Muridae. The transcript is spliced from 2 exons. The record is from RefSeq and is a predicted model, not a curated record.
UCUAAGGUUCCUGAAUAAACUGCCAAAAGAAGAGCUCAUGGGUCGCGUCUUUCUUGCUGGUCAAGGCGGACGCGACAACUGGCGGCCCGUACGGGGAACCUCUUGAGACUCAGAACUUUUUGCAGUCAGGGCAGCCGGCUGGUAAGUUCCCAGGAUUGUUUAGAGCCUCUGUGGGUUCCCGAAUGACUGACAUGGACAUGUGCCACGCAAAAUGAAAAGACCGUGCCUGAAGGUUCUGUGCGUCCUCCUGCUCCUGUUCCUGAUAGAGAGCCAAGCGGAACCAAGGAAUUUGGUUGGCAAAUUUUGAGGAUCUGAUGGA